GGGGAUUUAGCUCAGCGGCAUAAGCGCCUGCCUUGCAAGCAGGCGGUUGUGAGUUCGAUCCCCG
Transfer RNA from Cavia porcellus (domestic guinea pig), 64 nucleotides. It matches the Rfam family "tRNA". Rfam says of the family: Transfer RNA (tRNA) molecules are approximately 80 nucleotides in length. Their secondary structure includes four short double-helical elements and three loops (D, anti-codon, and T loops). The record is from Rfam. NCBI's taxonomy places the organism in Eukaryota, Metazoa, Chordata, Mammalia, Rodentia, Caviidae.